CUUAUUUUAUUAUGUCUUCAUAGAUGAUAGCUAGAUACAAAAGUAAUUAUUUGUUGUUUUGUUUUGUUUUUGGAGACUAGUUUAUCAAAACUCAAAAUCUACUACUACGUACGUACUUCUCACACUUGUUAAAUGAUUAACACAAUUCUUCUGGCCGGUUUCAUUGCGCACUUGCUUUUUAAGACAUAAACGAAGUAAAGAAGACAAAAGAGAGGCAUCAAUGGGGUUAUCAACUCUUUAAGGAGCGAAUGAUGAAAACGCCACCUGUUCAAGAUUAUAUUGGAAAUGGGGAUUUACCGCCUGAUAAGGAAUUUGACCCAGGCAUAUUUAAUACAUAUAGUGAAUACACACCAAAACAAGAUGACAUCUUGUGAAACACCAACAUUCUAAGAAGCAUCCACUCAAGAUUCAAGGCCUAAUAUUAGAGGAAAGACUGACAUAGCUUGGGCACAUUGUAAGCUCAUUCCGGAGGGUGACAAGAUUGCUAUGAUGUUUAUUGUGAUAAAAUUUUUAGGGGAGGUGAAAUUAAUAGAUUAAAGAGUCACUUGGUUGAUUAAAGAGUCAUCUGGAUCUCAACCUACCUUGAAAAGUGUGUUGCAAAACAAAGAAGUGAUACGAAGGUGUGACCUUGCUAUUGCUAAAUGGUUCAUUGAUGUAUCUAUUCCAUUUAAUGCAACUAAUUUAGCAUAUUUUCAGCCUAUGAUUGAUGCUCUCUAUAACAUGAGUCCAGGAUACAAGGCUCCAAGUAUGCAUUGUCUUCAUGGUGAUUUGUUAAUUAGUUGGGUUGAUGAUGUGCAUAAACUUGCAGACGAUUAUCGUUCCAUUUGGAAAAAAAUUGGUUGUACUGUUACAGCAGAUGGAUGGACUGAUAGGAAAAGGAGAACUCUUAUCAAUUUUUUGGUCUAUUGUCCUAAAGGAACUAUUUUUUCUAAAAUCUAUUGAUGUCUCUCAUGCUUCUAAAUCUAUUGAUUUAUUGUUUAAGUUUUUCAAGGAUGUUGUGUUACGUGUUGGUCCUAAAAAUGUAGUUCACAUAGUAACUUACAACGCUACCAAUUAUGUUGUUGCUGGUAGGUUACUGGAAAAAGAGUUUCCUAAAUUGUUUUGGUCUCCUUGUGCAGCAUAUUGCAUCAAUUUAAUGUUGCAAGACAUGGGAAAAUUGGUGGAAGUUAGUGAGGAUGUGUCACAUGCCUAAAAAAUUACUAAAUAUAUUUAUAAUCAUUUAUAUGCUUUGUUUUUUAUGAGAAAGUAUACAAGUGGAAGGGACAUAAUUCGUCCUGCUUCUACUCGCUUUGCCACUAAUUUCAUUGCUUUGCAGAGUAUUUUGGCUCAAAAAGAUGCAUUAAGAGUCAUGGUAACAUCUAAAGAAUGGGCAAGCUCAGCUUAUGCCAAAGAAGCCAAGGCAAAAAAAUUUGUGGAACAAGUCUUAGACUCUGGGUUUUGGAGUAAAUGUGUUGAUGUAGUGAAACUAACUGAGCCACUUGUAUGUGUGUUGCGUAUGGUUGAUAGUGAAGAUAAACCUACUAUGGGUUUUCUUUACUGAGCCAUGUAUAAAGCUAGAGAAGAGAUGGUAAAGAGGUUUCGAAGAAAUACAACAAAAGUAGAGCUUUACUUGAAAAUCUUAGAUCAUUGUUGGGAUUCACAACUUCACAAAAAUCUCCAUGCCUCGGGUUAUUGGUUAAAUCCUGCUUAUCGGUAUAAUAAGGAAGAAUUUGAACAACAUAUGACUACAACAACUGGUCUAUUGGAUGUCAUUGAAAGAUAUGCUCAUAAAGAUAGUCAGUUGUGAACUAGUGAGAAGAGAAUUUACAGCAAUCCUGAGUUGGAUUUAGGAAGACAAGCUGCUUUGGAUGAACAAAAUACAAUCAUGCCAAAUCAAUGUUGGGUAUCUUAUGGAUGUGGGGUACCACAUUCACAAAAGUUGGCUAUUCGUAUUUUAAGCCAAACUUGUACUGCUUCAGGCUGUGAGCGGAAUUGGAGUGUAUUUGAGCACAUUCAUUAAAAAAAAAAGAAAUAGGUUGGAGCAUAAGAAACUUAAUGAUUUAGUCUAUGUUCGUUACAACUUAAGGUUACAAAAUAGGAAAAAGGGACAGCAAUGUUAUGAUCCUAUUAAUUUGGAAACACUUGAUGACCUUGUUGAUUGGAUAAUGGAGGAUUCACCACCAUUCUUAACCAAUGAGGAGGUGGAUGCAUUACGCAAAGACCUUGCAAACAUGACCAUUCAAUCACUUUCAAAUGAUAUUGGUCCUUUAAAUUUGGAUGAUGAUGUUGAUGAAGCACAAGGCAAUCCCAUGGAAAACAUGAAUUUAAAUGAAAGCAAUAUUGAUCAUGAAGUUACAAUGGGAGAUUCUUUUGAGUUCUUUAAUGAAGAAGGAGUUCCUAAAAAUGACAAUGACUUAAUUUAUGUCCCCUAACCAUAGAAAAAGUUCAACUUGUUUAGGAACAUAUGUUGAACUUGAACUUAUUAAGCUAUUAUUUAUGUUUGUGAUCUUUGUUA
Molecule: long non-coding RNA, 2494 nt
Organism: Glycine soja
Lineage: Eukaryota; Viridiplantae; Streptophyta; Magnoliopsida; Fabales; Fabaceae
Exons: 5
Source: RefSeq, a predicted model, not a curated record